AUGUGAACGUUGAAGACUGCAUAAGUAGUUAUUUUAUCUGGGUGUCAGGAAGUUGGUGGUUGCUGCGAACCAAUCAGGGUAUGAUAAUGAAAUACCGCAGUUGAGUUUUUGAUAACGGGUGACACCGUUAAUUGUCAAAAGAGUGAAAACUAUUGAUAGAAAUAGUUUUAAUUUGGGUGGUACCACGGAUAAUCGUCCCGAUU
Molecule: non-coding RNA, 203 nt
Filed under: Liquorilactobacillus ghanensis
Lineage: Bacteria; Bacillati; Bacillota; Bacilli; Lactobacillales; Lactobacillaceae
Description: Lactobacillus ghanensis T-box sequence
Rfam family: T-box leader
About the family: Uncharged tRNA acts as the effector for transcription antitermination of genes in the T-box leader family. T-boxes are found upstream of many aminoacyl-tRNA synthetase genes and some amino acid biosynthetic genes usually in Gram-positive bacteria. The anticodon of a specific tRNA base pairs to a specifier sequence within the T-box motif, and the NCCA acceptor tail of the tRNA base pairs to a conserved bulge in the T-box antiterminator hairpin.
Source: RNAcentral